UAAUUUAUAUGUGGUGAUGAGGAUUGAACCCAGGGCCUCGCACUUGCUAGGCGAGCGCUCUAUCACUGAGCCAUGACCCCAGCCCCUUUUUUUAUAUUUUUAUUUAGAGAGAGAGUCUGGCUAAAUUGUUUAGGCCCUUACUACAUUGCUGAGGCUGGUUUUGAAAGAUCCUCCUGCCUCAGCCCUCCCAGCCACUGGGAUAACAGGGAUGCGCCACCAAACCCAGUUUAAAUAGCUUUCUCUCCUCCUCCAAUACUAGGAUUCUUGGGAUCAGGGGCUUCUGCGUUCUAGGUAAGUGCCCUAACGCUUCUUUCUUCUUUCUUCCCCGCCCCCCCCCAGACAGUAUCUCACUAAGUUACCCAAGCUGGCCUUGAAGUUGCCAUUCUUCUGCCUCAGCCUCCCAAGUAGCUGAGAUUACAGGCACACACUCCCAGGCCCAAUUUAAAUAGCAGUUUUUAAGGUUCAGUGGAUAUUAGUCUGAUUUCAAGUUAAAAUGCACCUACAGGAGCUGGGGUUGUGGCUCAGUGGUACAGCACUUGCCUAGUAUGUGUGAGGCACUGGAUUAGAUUCUCAACACCGCAUAUAAAUAAAUGAAUAAAAUAAAGAUCCAUUGACAACUAAAAAAAUAAGAAUUUUUUUUUUUUUAAUGCACCUACAGGGCUGGGAUUGUGGCUCAGCGGUACAGCGCUCGCCUAGCAUGAGCAGGACCCGGGUUCGAUCCUCAGCACCACAUAAAAAUAAAGGCAUUAUGUUGUGUCCAUCUAGACAUAAAAAAUUAUAUAUAUAUAUAUAUUGCACCUGCAAUUCACAGCCAUCUGACCACACAGUGACUUGAUAGCCUGAACACAACAAUAAAAUAAUCUACUCUUAUCACCACCAUUUGACAAAUAGAGAUUUCAUUUGAGUUAUGCUGUGAAUGAUAGCUGUGCUUCCAAGUUUUCAUAAACAAGGCUCUGUAUGCUGCAGCUGCUGCUAUAGCAUCUUAACAUAUAUUUCCAUUUCACUGUGAUCAAAAUGUUUCCUCUAGGGUUGAAGAUACAGCUCAGUGGUAGAGCUUUUUCCUAGCAUUCAUAAGGCUAUGGGUUCCAUCACCAGCAGUACACACACAAGCUUCCCCCAAAAAUAACCAAAAAUAGAUAAAAUAAUUUGGCUUCCAGACUUUACUUCUACAAAAGGGAUAUAUAGAAUAAAAAUUCUCCACCUUCAUAUAUGUAAGAUGUUCUCUAUUGAGACUUUUACAUCUAGA
Molecule: long non-coding RNA, 1246 nt
Filed under: Marmota monax (woodchuck)
Lineage: Eukaryota; Metazoa; Chordata; Mammalia; Rodentia; Sciuridae
Source: RNAcentral